UUUUCCACUAAUACAAAUACUUUGUAUAAGUAUCAACUGAGUUUCCUAAAAUAUUUUGAUGAUAUUUCAUGAACACUGAGUAGUUUGCCAUCAGUGAAUCUGCUGGAGUUUAGAUUGUAAUGUAUAAGUGUGCAGUCCUAUAUUACAACUUUUUUUUUCCUUUAUUGAAAUGAAAUUUAUAGUUUUUAUUAUUGCAAUAGAUUUGCUCACAAUAGCAAGCAGAAGUAAAGCAGUUGUUGUUAAGAUGCAGUGAACAGUGCAGCUGCUGAAGCGUGCAGAGGUUUUUGUACAGCUGCUUUUUUACUCCAUUUUGUCCUAUUUCACAGUUUGUAUCACUGUGAUUAACUUUCGGUGGCGGCACAAGACUGGACGUUGGCAACUGGAGCCUGAGCUUGAAGGUGGACAGCAGCAGCAUCAGGUCUCAGGACAGCAGCGCUGGGCUCCUGCAGGAGGACGGUCUGUACAGCUGGAGCAGCAGCCUGACUCUCUCUCAGCAGCAGUGGAUGGAGAGCGUCUCAGUGAGCUGUGAGGCCACACGCAGCGGCCAGCCUGCCGUCACUCAACAACUGACCAGAGAUCAGUGCUCACAGUAGAUCCUGCUGCAGAUCCGUCCUGCUCGUGUCUCACUUCUGCUUCUCUGAUUUAAUUCAUAUAAGAGCAUGCAAUGAUUUUUCUCUUUUAUCUGAAAUAAAAGCCUUUAUAUCUUU
Labeo rohita (rohu) is the source of this 707-nucleotide long non-coding RNA. RefSeq lists it as uncharacterized. The transcript is spliced from 2 exons. NCBI's taxonomy places the organism in Eukaryota, Metazoa, Chordata, Actinopteri, Cypriniformes, Cyprinidae. The record is from RefSeq and is a predicted model, not a curated record.